CAGUCGCCGCGGUAAUACAGAGGUCCCAAGCGUUACUGAGAAUCACUGGGUUUAAAGGGUGCGUAGGUGGUCCGUUAAGUCAGUUGUGAAAUCCCCGGGCUCAACCCGGGAACUGCUUCUGAUACUGGCGGACUUGAGGCCAGUAGAGGUCACUAGAACAGACGGUGGAGCGGUGAAAUGCGUAGAUAUCGUCUGGAAUGCCGGUGGUGAAGACGGGUGACUGGGCUGGUUCUGACACUGAGGCACGAAAGCGUGGGGAGCGAACGGGAUUAGAUACCCGCGUAGUCCCUGUCUCUUAUAC
This 301-nucleotide ribosomal RNA is filed under the name uncultured bacterium. RNAcentral describes it as "partial 16S ribosomal RNA". It matches the Rfam family "Bacterial small subunit ribosomal RNA", at positions 509 to 807 of the family's 1533-position model. The record is from RNAcentral.